CACCCAAUUAAUAAAAUAUAUGAUAAAUUCAUUCUUCUAUAUCUGUUAUUUGUAUUUUUUAUUCAUUUAUUUCAAAACUUACUGUCUCCCAUAUCACUGUAUAAAAAACAAGAACUUAUAUCUUACUUCUUCAUAGUCUUGACCUGAAGAAGAGAAGCUAAGGAACAACCCCUAACAAACGCCACAGACGACCUGAAAAAGGGAGAAAGAAAACCCAAGUAGAAACUCAGAAGACCCAAUUCUUAAAGAAAAAAAAAAUUCAGAAGAUCCAAACCCAAUUAAGAUUUGGAGCAAGAAAGAGUUACCAAACAUAAUGCGAG
This 320-nucleotide unclassified non-coding RNA is filed under the name Hevea brasiliensis (rubber tree). The record is from RNAcentral. Lineage: Eukaryota; Viridiplantae; Streptophyta; Magnoliopsida; Malpighiales; Euphorbiaceae.